Molecule: ribosomal RNA, 495 nt
Filed under: uncultured bacterium
Lineage: Bacteria
Description: partial 16S ribosomal RNA
Rfam family: Bacterial small subunit ribosomal RNA
Source: RNAcentral
GAUGAACGCUGGCGGCGUGCCUAAUACAUGCAAGUAGAACGCUGAAGGAGGAGCUUGCUCUUCUGGAUGAGUUGCGAACGGGUGAGUAACGCGUAGGUAACCUGCCUGGUAGCGGGGGAUAACUAUUGGAAACGAUAGCUAAUACCGCAUGACAACAGUUAUUGCAUGAUAACUGUUUAAAAGGGGCAACUGCUCCACUACCAGAUGGACCUGCGUUGUAUUAGCUAGUUGGUGAGGUAACGGCUCACCAAGGCGACGAUACAUAGCCGACCUGAGAGGGUGAUCGGCCACACUGGGACUGAGACACGGCCCAGACUCCUACGGGAGGCAGCAGUAGGGAAUCGUCGGCAAUGGACGGAAGUCUGACCGAGCAACGCCGCGUGAGUGAAGAAGGGUGUCGGAUCGUAAAGCUCUGUUGUAAGAGAAGAAAGAGUGUGAGAGUGGAAAGUUCACACUGUGACGGUAUCUGACCAGAAAGGGACGGCUAACUACGUG